CCUACGGGGGGCUGCAGUUGGGAAUCUUGCACAAUGGGGGAAACCCUGAUGCAGCGACGCCGCGUGGAGGACGAAGGGUCUAGGCCUGUAAACUCCUUUUUUCGGGAAAGACUUAGGACGGUACCCGAAGAAUAAGGACCGGCUAACUACGUGCCAGCAGCCGCGGUAAGACGUAGGGUCCAAGCGUUGUCCGGAUUUACUGGGCGUAAAGAGCGCGUAGGCGGCUCGUUAAGUGUAGAGUGAAAUCUCUGGGCUCACCCCAGAAACUGCUCUGC
Molecule: ribosomal RNA, 275 nt
Filed under: uncultured bacterium
Lineage: Bacteria
Description: partial 16S ribosomal RNA
Rfam family: Bacterial small subunit ribosomal RNA
Source: RNAcentral